UGGGGAAUAUUGGACAAUGGGCGAAAGCCUGAUCCAGCCAUGCCGCGUGUGUGAAGAAGGUCUUCGGAUUGUAAAGCACUUUAAGUUGGGAGGAAGGGCAUUAACCUAAUACGUUAGUGUUUUGACGUUACCGACAGAAUAAGCACCGGCUAACUCUGUGCCAGCAGCCGCGGUAAUACAGAGGGUGCAAGCGUUAAUCGGAAUUACUGGGCGUAAAGCGCGCGUAGGUGGUUUGUUAAGUUGGAUGUGAAAUCCCCGGGCUCAACCUGGGAACUGCAUUCAAAACUGACUGACUAGAGUAUGGUAGAGGGUGGUGGAAUUUCCUGUGUAACGGUGAAAUGCGUAGAUACAGGAAGGAACACCAGUGGCGAAGGCGACCACCUGGACUAAUACUGACACUGAGGUGCGAAAGCGUGGGGAGCAAACA
This 427-nucleotide ribosomal RNA is filed under the name uncultured bacterium. RNAcentral describes it as "partial 16S ribosomal RNA". It matches the Rfam family "Bacterial small subunit ribosomal RNA", at positions 355 to 774 of the family's 1533-position model. The record is from RNAcentral.